This is a long non-coding RNA of Capra hircus (goat), 517 nucleotides long. RefSeq lists it as uncharacterized. The transcript is spliced from 3 exons. Lineage: Eukaryota; Metazoa; Chordata; Mammalia; Artiodactyla; Bovidae. The record is from RefSeq and is a predicted model, not a curated record.
CGACCCCAUGGACUGCAGCCCACCAGGCUCCUCUGCCCAUGGGAUUUUCCAGGAAGUUUUGCUGGAGUUGCUGGAACAUUGUGUGGAUGGCUUAUGGAAAGCAGAGCGUUACAAAGUAAUUUCUGAAAUUUCCAAGUUGAUCAUUCCAAUUUAUGAGAAUCGUCGAGUUUGAGAAACUUAAGUUUAUAGAACUCUUCAUGGAGCUUACACAAAAAUUUUGGAGGUUAUGCACGCAAAGAAAAGACUUUUAGGCACCUUCUUCAGAGUUGCCUUUUAUGGCCCAGUAAGUAUACUGUAGUUCAUCAAGUUGCUUUCCUCUUUAAACAUUCACCUUGAAUUAUUAGGUUACCAUAGCAGCAGUCUGGUUCUAGGGUUCUGUCUGGGUAAAGCACCUGUCCCAACAGCAGGUGUGACCCUUUUCUCAUGUAAUGUUCACUUUGGUUUCCAUAUUUAGUCCACGAGGGCAGAGCACAGCAUAUAAGAUUUGAACGUUUCCUUCAGUUUCAGUUUCAGUCAG